UACGGGGGGGGCAAGCGUUGUUCGGAAUUACUGGGCGUAAAGAGCUCGUAGGCGGUCUGUCGCGUCGGUCGUGAAAACUUGGGGCUUAACCCUGAGCUUGCGGUCGAUACGGGCAUGACUGGAGUUCGGCAGGGGAGACUGGAAUUCCUGGUGUAGCGGUGAAAUGCGCAGAUAUCAGGAGGAACACCAGUGGCGAAGGCGGGUCUCUGGGCCGAUACUGACGCUGAGGAGCGAAAGCGUGGGGAGCGAACAGG
This 254-nucleotide ribosomal RNA is filed under the name uncultured bacterium. RNAcentral's name for it is "partial 16S ribosomal RNA". It matches the Rfam family "Bacterial small subunit ribosomal RNA", at positions 524 to 776 of the family's 1533-position model. The record is from RNAcentral.